UUUGACUGUUUCCCAAGGGAGUGUUCUUCUGGAGUUUGCUUCUGGAUUCCUCACUCUCUGCGAACCUUGUUUGUGGAUGCCCCUCAAAAAUGCAAUGCCCGGCAUUAGAUGCACAAGCCCAGGCAAUUAAAAUGAAGACUGUUUCCAUGCGGGCCCCCGUGAAAGGGAUUCCUGUGUAUCUCAAGCAACAAAGAGAGCUGUGGAGCAAGGAGAUUCCCUGUGUAAUCGGGAGCACUGGAUGUGAAUCCCAGGUCUGGCAUGGGAACCUUGGAAUACUCAGUGAGUGAUGCUGAGUGGAAUGUUACGUAUCACCAUCAUCAUCAGCAUCCAUCCCACCACCAUCAUCACAACCACCACCACCACCAUCAUCAUCAUCAUCAUCAUCAACAGCUUUUUCCAAGCAAGUCUGGAAUAAGAAGAGAAGUCGGAGGAUUUAGGCUUUGUACUUCCUGGCAGCCCCAGCCCCUGAGGCUCAUGCGAUCCUGCUCACCUUCUCUCCCUGACCCCGAACCCUAAGGGGCUCCCGCACUCCAGAUCGUAGCUGGCUCUUCUCUAUUCUUUUCCUUAUUCCAGCCAUUAGAGUCUUUUGGGACUGGCUUCUCAACCUUUGUCACAUUGGGCUUGAUAUUUUUAGUUUCUUUCAGUGGUAAAUAUUAGAUUAUUCAGAAAAAUUGUUGUCCCAGAUUUCCACACAUGAUGGUAUAGAUACAGAAUAUACACUUAUAAAAUAAGCAGAAAUGAUAUCUCAUGAACAUUUGCUAGAAUUGAAAUAGAAGAGGUGCAGGCAGCAUCCCCAUAGCUUAAAAAUGAUCUGCUAAGAUGUGGGCAUGACUUUUCCCCACAAAACUUGCCACUCAUUUGAUAUUAUAGUGCGGGGGAAUAGUCUUCCUGACAUUUUAGUGGUUGUUAUUGCUGUAUUUUUUUUUUAGGGCAUAUUUUUUUAAGGGGAGAAAAUGAAGAAUAUGUAAGGAAAAAAAUCAGUACUUAGCUGGGUUACCUUUUAUUCUUAGGACAUUUACUUGUUAGCAUUACAGUCUUAAAAUAGUCUUCUACCAAAUACAUUACCAACAGGCAUUUCCAAAAUGCUGAGAGUACUCUAUCUAGUCUCAAAUUCUCAAGUUCAAAAAAAUGGAAUGCCAGUUCCUCCAUGGGCUGACACAGCCUCAUUAUUAUGGCCAUAUUUAUUUACUUAUUUAUUGUAGUAAAAUAUACAUAAUAUAAAAUUCAUCAUUUAAACCAUUUUAAGCAUACAGUUCAGUGCCUUUAAGUACAUUCACAUUGUUAUAUAAUCAUCACUACUAUCCAUCUUCAAAACUUUUUUUAUCUUCUGCAAUGAAAACUAUGUACCCAUUUAAUAAUAAUUCCUAAUUACCCCUACCCUCUGCCCGUAGCCACCACCAUUCUACUUUGUGUCUCUAUGAAUUUAACUACUGUCAGUACCUUAUGUAAGUGGAUUAGCGCCAAAUUUGUCUUUUUGCGAUUGGCUUAGUCACUUAGCAUCAUGUCUUCCAGGUUCAGUCAUAUUGCGGCAUAUGUCAGGAUUUUCUUCCCUUUAGGGUAACACUUAUUGAGCUCUUACUGCCUACCAGGCCUUGUGCUAUGCGCUUCAACAGACCUCACAAUCACCCUAUGAGGUAGGGAGUCUCACUAACUCCAUUUCACAGAUGAAGAAACUGAAGACAGGAAUGUUUAGAAAGCUGCCUGAUAUGGUUUAGCUCUGUGU
RNAcentral lists this long non-coding RNA (1723 nucleotides) under Homo sapiens (human). Its description in RNAcentral is "HSALNT0382862". The record is from RNAcentral. Lineage: Eukaryota; Metazoa; Chordata; Mammalia; Primates; Hominidae.